GAUGAAGAACGUAGCGAAAUGCGAUACGUAAUGUGAAUUGCAGAAUUCAGUGAAUCAUCGAGUCUUUGAACGCACAUUGCGCCCCCUGGUAUUCCGGGGGGCAUGCCUGUCCGAGCGUCAUUGCUGCCCUCAAGCACGGCUUGUGUGUUGGGCCCCCGCCCCCCGGUUCCCGGGGGGCGGGCCCGAAAGGCAGCGGCGGCACCGCGUCCGGUCCUCGAGCGUAUGGGGCUUCGUCACCCGCUCCGUAGGCCCGGCCGGCGCCCGCCGGCGACCCCCCAUCAAUCUUUCCAGGUUGACCUCGGAUCAGGUAGGGAUACCCGCUGAACUUAAGCAUAUCAAUAAGCGGAGGA
Molecule: unclassified non-coding RNA, 350 nt
Filed under: soil metagenome
Description: partial contains 5.8S ribosomal RNA, internal transcribed spacer 2, and large subunit ribosomal RNA
Rfam family: 5.8S ribosomal RNA (bases 1-120)
Source: RNAcentral